CCCGCACAAGCGGUGGAGCAUGUGGUUUAAUUCGAAGCAACGCGAAGAACCUUACCAAAUCUUGACAUCCUUUGACAACUCUAGAGAUAGAGCCUUCCCCUUCGGGGGACAAAGUGACAGGUGGUGCAUGGUUGUCGUCAGCUCGUGUCGUGAGAUGUUGGGUUAAGUCCCGCAACGAGCGCAACCCUUAAGCUUAGUUGCCAUCAUUAAGUUGGGCACUCUAAGUUGACUGCCGGUGACAAACCGGAGGAAGGUGGGGAUGACGUCAAAUCAUCAUGCCCCUUAUGAUUUGGGCUACACACGUGCUACAAUGGACAAUACAAAGGGCAGCGAAACCGCGAGGUCAAGCAAAUCCCAUAAAGUUGUUCUCAGUUCGGAUUGUAGUCUGCAACUCGACUACAUGAAGCUGGAAUCGCUAGUAAUCGUAGAUCAGCAUGCUACGGUGAAUACGUUCCCGGGUCUUGUACACACCGCCCGUCACACCACGAGAGUUUGUAACACCCGAAGCCGGUGGAGUAACCUUUUAGGAGCUAGCCGUCGAAGGUGGGACAAAUGAUUGGGGUGAAGUCGUAACAAGGUAGCCGUAUCGGAAGGUGCGGCUGGAUCACCUCCUUUCUAAGGA
Molecule: ribosomal RNA, 622 nt
Filed under: Staphylococcus aureus
Lineage: Bacteria; Bacillati; Bacillota; Bacilli; Caryophanales; Staphylococcaceae
Description: bacterial SSU rRNA
Rfam family: Bacterial small subunit ribosomal RNA
Source: RNAcentral